Molecule: long non-coding RNA, 884 nt
Filed under: Papio anubis (olive baboon)
Lineage: Eukaryota; Metazoa; Chordata; Mammalia; Primates; Cercopithecidae
Description: lncRNA (ENSPANG00000042667.1)
Source: RNAcentral
GCUUUUACUUAUUCCUCGUGCCUUCUUUACUAAUUGCUAUCUUGAAGUCUUUCACUUUCUAUUUGGUCAAUUUUGGUAAUUUCUACUUUGCUACAAAGUCAUAUGUUUUCCUUGUGUUUUAGAUUCGUUGCAAUAGUGGCAUGCAUUAGUCUCUUAACUUUUUAAAGUUUCUUUGUCUAUGUUUAGGUAUUUUUUAUUUUGUAUGUAUUUUUUCUCCCUGUUGCUGUUAUCAGAUCUCAGAGAUGAUUUUCUGUAUCUGUCUUACUGGUGUUUGUGAAGAACAAGCUUUUAGAACUUAUUUUUCAUUUUAGUAUACAGUCGUAUGUUACUUAAUGACAGGAAUGUGUUCUGAGAAAUGCAUCCCUAAGUGAUUUCAUCAUUGUGCAAACAUCAAUGAGUAUACUUACAUAAAUCUAGAUGGUAUAGCCUACUACAUAUGUUGCUGUAUGGUACAGCUUAUUGCUCUUAGGCUACAAACGUGUACAGCAUGACACUGAACUGAAUAAUGUAGGCAACAGUAACACAAUGAUCUUUGCAAGGAUGUGUUCUUCAUUUAUCAUCAUGCAUUCCCAGCCGUAGAAUUGCUGUGCCAUGUGAGUAUUCAUAUUUAACUCUUGAAGAAAGGACCACACUGUUGUUCCAAAUUCCCUCUAUGAUUUUUUCAUCCUCACCGAUACCUGCCAUUUUCUGCCUCUUGAUUAUAGUCAUUCAAGUUUUAGUUUCAAGAAAUCUAAUGAGAUUAACCUUUGUAUUUCAAACUGCCCAAAACUGACCACUAAGCUAUUGAGGAAUGCCUGUCCAUCUCUGUGGUAGUGGUGGGAAGGAAGAAACAUUCUGUUAACACUAUGUUCUACUUGUUUUCUGCUAGUUAUUUUCAAUUCUUG